CCUACGGGUGGCUGCAGUAGGGAAUUUUGCACAAUGGGCGCAAGCCUGAUGCAGCAAUGCCGCGUGAGUGAAGAAGGCUCUUGGGUUGUAAAGCUCUUUCGGCUGGGAAGAAGGGGUAUCCCUCGAACAGGUGGAUAUUCUGACGGUACCAGAAGAAGAAGCACCUGCUAACUUCGUGCCAGCAGCAGCGGUAAUACGAAGGGUGCAAGCGUUGUUCGGAAUUACUGGGCGUAAAGCGCGCGUAGGCGGGGAAAGCCCUGGGCUUAACCUGGGAAUUGCAGUCGAAACUGACGGUCUUGAGUGCCUGAGAGGAUGGCGGAAUUCCCGGUGUAGUAGUGAAAUACGUAGAUAUCGGGAAGAACACCUGAGGCGAAGGCGGCUAUCUGGCGGUGCACUGACGCUGAGGCGCGAAAGCGUGGGGAGCAAACAGGAUUAGAUACCCUUGUAGUC
RNAcentral lists this ribosomal RNA (450 nucleotides) under uncultured bacterium. Its description in RNAcentral is "partial 16S ribosomal RNA". It matches the Rfam family "Bacterial small subunit ribosomal RNA", at positions 338 to 795 of the family's 1533-position model. The record is from RNAcentral.